UGGUUCAGAUUCUGCAGAUCAAUAAUGUGUCUGAUCAUCCCAGGUUGGAUCUCCCGAGCCUGUAAACCUCCACCUUCAACACCAUCAGUUAGGUGGAGGAAGAUAAGAGAACCCAGUUGACAAAAAAAGUAAGAAUAUUUAUAUCUUUCUACAUAACUAAACAUUUCAGAUAUUGCUGCAGAGAGUUGAGCUUUAAAAACGGUUUCUAUCUGCUCUCUUUGUAAAAUAAUUUUUAACUUUGUUGUAUUUUCUGUUUAUUUCAUUUCUACAUCAACUCAUGUCACAUGACUUGAGUUGACCAGCAAUUAAAGCAGAAGACCUGCUCCACCUGCUAAUCUACUGGUUGUAAAAGAUUGUGGGAACGCAUUACUGAGAUAAGACAACAGGAUUGGACCAAUCAGGAGAGAGGACUGAGGAGACACAGGAAAUCCUGCCGAAAAUCCCGAGAUCCCAGGUUGGGUCUCCUCGUAUUAGCAUCUGACCGGGGAGACCCCAACCAUCUUCAUAACCUAACAGACCUAACAGUCUGUUAGAGAUUGGCUUUAUUUACUUUGGUGACUGUUUAUAGUUUUUAAAUAAAACACUGAACAUUUUU
Long non-coding RNA from Xiphophorus hellerii (green swordtail), 595 nucleotides. RefSeq lists it as uncharacterized. The transcript has 2 exons. Lineage: Eukaryota; Metazoa; Chordata; Actinopteri; Cyprinodontiformes; Poeciliidae. The record is from RefSeq and is a predicted model, not a curated record.